GAUAAUUUGGAGCUUUUUCGAUGAUAUAUACAUUUUAAAAGUCACCUGGGGCCAACACGAAUUGAUUUUUUUGAAUGACUUUUGUUCCAUAUGAUAAAGUAACAACUACUAAAGGUAAUUAAUAAAUUUUGUAAUGAAAAAUAAAUGUUUAUUUUUUUUCUGAAAAUCUUAUACCCGCGAGCCUCCUUAAACGAUCAAGAUUAGAUGGUUCUGAAAAUCAAAAAUUAGCGAAUGUUCAUCCACAACUUGUUACUGGUUUAAGUAUAGGUAUGUUAUACCAAUUAUGUCAAUAUAAAUGAAUGUAACGCAACUGUCUUACAAGUAGCAGGUUAAACUAACUUUAAAACUAGAUCAAAUCCACCAUUGUUUACAUAAGGAAAUGCCUGUACCAAGUCAGGACUAUGAAAGUUGAUUCAUAUGUUUUAUGUGUUUGAGCUUUUGAUAAUACCAUUUGAUAAUAAUAAAAACAGAAUAAUGAGGUUCGGUUGAGAACAAAACUUUGUGACAAAAGGGUUGGUUUUAGUCUCUAAAUUGUACAAUUUUCAUUAAAUUUAAAUUAAAGACAAUGCUCAAGUUCUAUGGUUUGUCCUGGGACAUUUUUCAUAGACUCUCACAAUAGAAGAUACAUUUUGCUUCACUUCUAUUAUUUUAGUAAUAACUGCAACGUUACUAUGUGUAUGUUAUGCAGGUUCAAAUUAAUAUCCAAAAAUAAAAGAAAAUAAGGAUUGAAAUUGAUCAACACAAAGCUGAGAGGUGAGAGGCAGGAUAGAGAAGAUAGAGAAGAUUAAUACAUCUCGAGAGAAUAUUAUCAAGCUCAGCUUUUCCUUAGUUGACAAUAAUUUUUCGGCUAAUAAUAUCACCCUCUUAUAUUUGGGUUAUUUAUAUUUAAUGCUAGCAGUUUCCCCAGAAAACACAAUCGAAAGUGUCACAGCUUCUCCCCGUCCCCUUUUACUGCAAUAUACCUUUUUCAUAAGGUAUUACUGGGAUAAGCAAACUAUAUUGUAUUAUCAUUCAAAGUUGAAUUACAGUCUAAAUCAAAUCAAUUUAGAAGGUUAAAUUUAAAUAAUCCAGGCUUGAUCUGUCAUUAUAUUUAUUUAUUGUUUCUUAACGUUUUACUUUUGCUAACAAACUUUCGAGAUCAAAGAGAAUUAUCCUCUUCACACGACUGUCCGUUCAAAAUGUGAACUAUUUGUAAAUUAUGGACUAUGUUUAGAACAGCUAUAUAGUAUGUCAUGUAUUUUCGAUAGAAUAUAUUUUCUUGAAAUUUUUAUAAAUAAGUCCGUCAGUUUAACUUUUUUUUAAAUGUAUCAAAUGUAUCAUAUCGGGUCCUGUAUUACCAACUAUACGGUAUGCUCUUGUCUCAUUAUGAAAGGUGGCCUAUAAUUGCAUAAAUCUAUUGCGUUUGAACUCUGGUUGUUUCAUUGACAAUUAAAACACAUCUCCUGAUUUUGAUAUCUUUUUGAUAUAUGUUUAUUUUAAAUAUCAGUUUUUAACCUAGCAUUGGUUUUUAUAAUAAAAUUGUAUCGUCGCUGGGCUUCCAAAAUGUCGUAUAUAACUUUUUUGGCUAAAAAUACUUUUUGACACCAAUAGUCUGGGUGGGAAGGAAAUCUUUGGUAUUGCAAAAUAGCAUACAGUUAGACCAAUCAAAACGUUUGAAAUAAGACAAAUUACAAAAUUGCCAAUGUCAGUGGUUUGUAAAGUUUGCUUCCAACAUGUUGUAUGAAAACUUGAAAAUCGUUGUAUAGUGGUUUUGGAAUGAAAUAAUUGAACAUUUCUUUAUUUCUGUGAAAAUAAUUUAAGUUCUCGGAUAAUCCAGAAAUGUCAAAGUUUUUAUUUCACUGCAAUUCGCAAAAAUGUUUAAGUUCACAUACGACAUUUUGGAAGCAUGCAUUUUGUCAAAAUUUUCAAAGCCUGUUUGUGAGAUAUUUUUUUCUUGAAAAAAUUGUUAUUUUCAACAUUUUGGAAGCCCAGCGACGGUAUGUUUUUACAUUAAAUUCUACAACUAUUAAAAAUAUGGUUUUUAUUUGAAAGACCUUCGAUAGAACUAUAUGCAUUUUAAUCUAUGCAGUGUCUAGGACCGGUUUAUAUACACAUAUCUUUGAAACUGAAACUAACAGAUUAAUGUGUCGCAAACCUAUUCUAAACUAUUAGAAUAAUAUGCCGUAAAUUUGUUCGAAACUAUCAGAAUUAUUUCGAGGUUAGCACCCUCAAAAUCUGGCCUACAGUUAAUAUAUUCAAAUGUAUUCUAGGGUACAAAUGUCUGAAUAUGGUCUUGAGAAGAGCAGCUCUAAAUAACCGCCAAAUGUUAAGUGAGGUUGAAGUUUAUCCAAUCCAUAUUAGAAAUGGAAAGAUCAUUGAAAGAAGUUUUUCGAAAACAACAUUAAAGAAAUACUUAACCCCAAGAUUUCUUUACAGUCAAUUAUUUGUUAUAUUAGAGAUACAUAAGAUACACAGAACGUUCGUUUAAUCUUGUCUAAAAAUGUCUUCAAAGAUCUAAACAAGGAUAUCGUUUUCCAUACAAAUUUGUAUUUAAGAUUUCAAAGAAGACAGACUUGUUUGGAUGGAACAUGGCAACGGUGAUUUAAAAUCUUCCAAUUUUGACGGAACAGAUGUAAUCAAAAUAUUCAGCACGAAUACGAUAAAGGCAAAUGGAGAAAUUUCUGUACAUGGUAGCACGACAUACUGUGCAAAUGAUCGUAACAUAUUAAGCGUCGAAGUAUUAGCAAAAACAACAGCAAAAGUAAUUCAUACAGAUUCAGGAAGAGUAUUGGGUGUAUUUUAUUAUAAAGAAAAAGGUAAGGUAAUACACGACGAAUCUUUGUGUAUUCAAUAAAAAAUACAAACUGGAUCACAAUAAAUCUACCAUGGAUACCAGAAAUGAAAUUUGAACACCAAACGUGCAUUUCGUGUUCAAAAUAUUCAUCAGUGACGCCCGAAUAAAAAAAAUUUAGAGGCCAAAAUAUAAGGAGAGUAUUGAAAAUUAGAUGGACAAAGAACUUAAUUUUAAUUUUGCAUCGGAAAAAAGACACAAUUAGAUUGUAUGAUAUAAAAACUGGUAAGGUGUGGUAUGAUUUUAAAAAGUGGAAGCAAACAUUCAUGACCAUUCUAGGACUUUCAACAGAGUAAUCCUCAUACCAUAUUAUCGGCUAUAAACGGCCCCGACAUCAAACAUGUGAAACAAUUUACACUGUCUAUUCGAAUACUUCACAAAAGAUUAUAACUUUGCAUUAACCAAGUGAUUUGAAACACAAGAAGUAAAACUAUUAGUUGGUUGAUGUUUUCUUAUUUGAAUAUAGGCGUGUAUUAGACAUAGUGAUAAUGAUUCUGUCUUGUAAUAUAAUGUUUGUCUCACUUUUGUUAAAUGUAUUUGUACUGCUGUUUCUUUCUGGUUUUCGAUAACUAAAACUAACCAAAGUUGUUGAGGUUUUACAUGUUUGACCAGAAACUGAAACUCGUUACCUAAUGAUUUAAAGUUGUUAUUCAUUAUAUAUAAUCGUGACAAUGUUUUAUUUUUUUUAAUUUGGGUGGUUAAGGUUUUACAGACAUACAGACAUAUUAAGACUAUGUCAAACGGUAAACAUGUACCAUUCUCAACAAUUUGUAUUACAACACACACUAUUAAUCAAACUAACCGUAUGCUAAUGUAUCUCAUAGUGACGGUAACUAAUCAAUGAAUUCGGUAAUGGCUAUUCUUUAUAUAUAUUUUUCUUUUAUAUCAUAAACGUAUACAUUUUACUGUAAUAAAUGGAUGCUUUAUGAAAUUUGUAUUUUUAUCUAGUGAGAUAAAUACAGAAUACAUUUUUAAACGAAUUUUAAAAUUCAUUUAAAGCUAUCAUUCUAAUAAUACAUUAAACUAUAGGUCAAAGUACGGCCUUUAACACGGAGCGUUGGUUCACACCGAACUGGAAGCUAUAGAGAGACUCAAAUAACUAAUGUAAAAUCAUUCAAAUUCAAACAUCUAAUCUAUAUUAUAAACGAGAAACGAGAAAAAAUCAUGAGCCACAACAACAAAUGACAAACACUGAACAACAUGAUCCUGAAUUAGGACAGGUGCAUAAAAGUUCAGUAGGUUAAAACGUUUUACAAGCGCCAACCUUCCUUCUAACCUGAGCGAGAAGUGUAAUAAUUUAACAUAAAACACACAUUCAACACAUUGAUUGUAAUAGUUGACUUUCCUAGCAACAUUUGACUUAAGACAUCAUGUUAAUGUGUAUGUAGUUGUUUUCAGUUCUCUUCUGUUUCCUCCUAUUUACUCUGAGUAGCUAUAUAAUUUACAUAAUCGAUGGGAAAUCACACGGCGAAUAACUUUUUUAAAAUUUAA
Molecule: long non-coding RNA, 4321 nt
Filed under: Mytilus galloprovincialis (Mediterranean mussel)
Lineage: Eukaryota; Metazoa; Mollusca; Bivalvia; Mytilida; Mytilidae
Source: RNAcentral